GUACAAUAUAUUUAUUUACAUAAAACUAUUAAGUAUCACUAUAAGCGUUUUUAAAUUUGAUAUUUUUAUUAUGUUAUACACUGUAUAUAGUGUAUAUAUUAUAAAUUUAGUUGUGAAAUUCAAUACGCGCAUUAAAAAAAAAAAAUAAUAAUAAAACAUUGACAUUGAAAAACGGAGGGAAAAAGACACCUUGUCGUUCUUACGGUACGUGAUAAGUAUUUUUCAAUCCAGUUCAAGAUCGUUAAACUAAAGAAUAGAAAAAAAAAAAAAAAAAUCUCGAAACAAAAUUUUACUUGAUGGGACGAUAACUACAAUAUCACUGUCCCGACGCGCGGUAGUCCGACUAGCAAACGGGCGGCUGUAACUGCACAAUUGAGCAUAAAAGUCCUUUUUUUAAGCAUAUUUUGUUGACGUAUCAAUUAUGUAGAAAUAUAGAAAUACAAAAGAAAAGCUUACGAAUGAGCAUAAAAAAUACUGCGACGCAGCCAUUUUCCACGUUAAACAAUAUUCGAUUGUACUUUAUAAAACACAAUAUUAUUAAUACGAAUAUUGUUAGAAUUGAAAAAAUCAAUACACGAAUAAAAAUAAUUGCAUGGUCAUAUGCAACGAUAUAUUGUUGACUUGUCGACGAUAAUAAUAGUACGGUAAUGAAUUGAAAAAAAAAA
Non-coding RNA from Cinara cedri, 665 nucleotides. The record is from the annotation of a GenBank genome assembly. NCBI's taxonomy places the organism in Eukaryota, Metazoa, Arthropoda, Insecta, Hemiptera, Aphididae.